This 521-nucleotide ribosomal RNA is filed under the name Microcoleus vaginatus PJ S1. Its description in RNAcentral is "bacterial SSU rRNA". It matches the Rfam family "Bacterial small subunit ribosomal RNA", at positions 398 to 949 of the family's 1533-position model. Lineage: Bacteria; Bacillati; Cyanobacteriota; Cyanophyceae; Oscillatoriales; Microcoleaceae. The record is from RNAcentral.
CGCGUGGGGGAGGGCUCUUGGGUUGUAAACCCCUUUUCUCUGGGAAGAACCGAUGACGGUACCAGAGGAAUCAGCAUCGGCUAACUCCGUGCCAGCAGCCGCGGUAAGACGGAGGAUGCAAGCGUUAUCCGGAAUGAUUGGGCGUAAAGCGUCCGCAGGUGGCAGUUCAAGUCUGCUGUCAAAGACCGGGGCUCAACCUCGGAAAGGCAGUGGAAACUGAACAGCUAGAGUAUGGUAGGGGCAGAGGGAAUUCCCGGUGUAGCGGUGAAAUGCGUAGAGAUCGGGAAGAACAUCGGUGGCGAAGGCGCUCUGCUGGACCAUAACUGACACUCAGGGACGAAAGCUAGGGGAGCGAAUGGGAUUAGAUACCCCCCGUAAACGAUGGAUACUAGGUGUUGUCUGUAUCGCCCGGACAGUGCCGUAGCUAACGCGUUAAGUAUCCCGCCUGGGGAGUACGCACGCAAGUGUGAAACUCAAAGGAAUUGACGGGGCCCGCACAAGCGGUGGAGUAUGUGGUUUAA